Non-coding RNA from Anas platyrhynchos (mallard), 3595 nucleotides. NCBI's taxonomy places the organism in Eukaryota, Metazoa, Chordata, Aves, Anseriformes, Anatidae. The record is from RefSeq and is a predicted model, not a curated record.
GGGCGUGGCCUGGCCGGUAGGGGGCGGGGCGGCGGAGCGGGCGCUGCCAUGGACGCGCUGAGCCGGGCCCGGCCCCGGCCCCGCUCCGCCGCCGCCGCCGCCGCCUCGCCGCUGCCCUGGGCCCGCUUCUCCGCCUGGCUCGAGUGCGUGUGCGUCGUCACCUUCGACCUGGAGCUGGGACAGGCCAUGGAGCUGGUGUACCCCUAUGACUUCCGACUGACAGAGAAAGAGAAGACCAGUAUCUGCUACUUGUCCUUCCCGGACUCCUACUCAGGUGGCCUGGGGGACACCCAGUUUAGCUUCCGCCUUCGCCAGUCGGGGGGACAGAGGACCGCUCAUUACGAGGAUGAUGGCGAGUACAACAGAGAAGCACCCCUCACCCUGCAGAGGGAGUCGGCUCAUUACUUCGGUUACGUAUACUUCAGGCAAGUCAAGGACAGCUCGAUGAAGAGAGGUUAUUUUCAGAAGUCUCUGGUGCUGGUGUCACGCCUUCCGUAUGUGAACUUGUUCCAGUCAUUGCUGCAGCUGAUUGCUCCAGAAUACUUUGACAAGCUGGAGCCAUGCCUGGAGGCAGUGUGCAAUGAGAUUGAUCAGUGGCCGCCCCCUGUGCCAGGACAGACUCUGAACCUUCCAGUGAUGGGAGUUGUCAUUCAGGUGAGGAUCCCAUCCAGGGUGGAUAAGCCAGGAACAAGUCCAGUGAAGCAGUUCAAUCAAGAGAAUCUCUUGCCAGCCCCAAUGGUUCUGCCAAGCAUUCAUGAACUGGACCUCUUCAGGUGUUUCCAGCCAGUGCUAAUUCAUAUCCAGAUGUUAUGGGAACUGGUGUUACUGGGAGAGCCAAUUGUUGUAAUGGCACCAUCCCCUACAGUUUCUUCAGAGAUGGUUAUGGCUCUUACCAGCUGUCUUGCCCCUCUGAGGUACUGUUGUGACUACCGGCCCUAUUUUACCAUCCACGACAGUGAAUUUAAGGAGUACACCACCAGGACUCAAGCUCCGCCAAACAUCGUCGUGGGAGUCACAAACCCCUUCUUCAUCAAAACACUCCAGCACUGGCCACACAUCCUUCGGGUCGGGGAGCUCAGAAUGUCAGGAGACCUGCCCAAGCAAGUUAAGGUGAAGAAGCUAACUAAACUAAAAACUCUAGACACAAAACCAGGAAUCUACACUUCUUAUAAAACAUUUCUUCACAAAGAUAAAACUCUGAUAAAAAGAUUACUAAAGGGGAUUCAGCGAAAACGCCCGUCUGAAGUCCAGAGUGCUCUUCUGAGGCGUCACCUCCUGGAGCUCACCCAGAGCUUCAUUAUUCCCCUGGAGCACUACAUCGCAAGUCUGAUGCCCCUGCAGAGAGCCAUUACUCCAUGGAAAAAUCCUCCACAAAUUCGCCCUUUCCGACAAGAUGAUUUCAUGAAGACCCUUGAGCAUGCUGGCCCCCAACUUACCUGUGUACUUAAGGGUGACUGGUUAGGCCUCUACAGGCGUUUCUUCAAGUCUCCCAACUUUGAUGGCUGGUACCGGCAGAGGCAUAAGGAAAUGACCCAGAAGCUGGAAGCCCUUCAUUUGGAGGCAAUCUGUGAAGCGGUAUGUCCCAGCUGCAGAACAUCGUGGCCUGGAUGAAGGACAAGUCCGAGGUGGAGAUUGUAGACCUGGUGCUAAAACUUCGGGAGAAGCUGGUAAGAGCCAGGUGCCAGCACCUUCCUGUGAAGGAGGAGACUCUGCAGCGGGUGGGCCUUUAUAUUGACACCGUCAUCAACUCCUUGCCAGAGGACCUCCAGGCAGUGCUGCACCACCACUGAGCACGGCGAAGGGACUGUUGGAGAAGGAAGGGCCCUCCCGUGCUGCGGGCAGCUGCACUUGCACUUGGAAAGGAAAAUUCCUCCCUGAUCCAGCCCACGUCGCCAGAUCUGGACCUUGCUCGCAAACCUGUCUGAUUUCGAGCACGUGGAUCAGAGCUGUGGCAGCAGUGGGGAACUGUGUGCACCAUUCUGUCUAAUCCUGCCUCGUGGAGCUGGAUUUAGGGGCCUGCAGAUGAAAAACUGUUCCCUGUGUGGCUGGUAGUAGGUCAGAAAGCGACAGUCAGGCUUUCAGCAGCAUGCUGAUAGGCUGUGCAGAACAUGUUUUUAUAUGCCCAUAUAUACACAUCCAGCUUUGCCUAGGGCUUGGGCUCUCGAAAUUUCAGUGCCGUCAUCCAGCCUGGGAGAAGCAGGACCAGCCCUGUAUGGGGGAGUUGUUUGCAGGACAGCUCCUGCGGAUAAUGAGAGAUGCUCGUCCCCCACGUGUAAAUGACGUGGAAAAAAAAACCUUGCUGCCCAUUCAGCAGCCUGACGCACGCCAGCAAGAGCUGUGAUAGGAGUGGGAGGCUGAACUGCUGGACGUGCAACGCUGCUGCUUUUUUGAAGGUCUGGUGCAUCUGCAAGGAACAGAGCUCUCUGGAGGUGGUGGAUGUGUGCUGUGUGAAUGGGAUAGCUGCUGCAGCUCCACCGAGAGGAGCUGGCCUCCAAACGUUAAUUUAUUCUGCUUGGAAGCGUCACGGUUGUGUGCUGCGGUAAGGUACGAGUGCUGGAGCUCUGCCUUGAACACAGCUUUAUCUGAUGCGGUCAGCCCACUUGCUGAUAAAACCUGGUGGAGAAUCUGAUCUUCACAGCCUGUGGCACCCUUGCCAAGUGGAAGCUCGUGGAGCAGUGCUCGUGUGAGCGUGCAGGGCUGGCUGUGAGAAGCGUGUGCCUGCCCUGUGCUUAGGGCAGGUGAGGAGCAUCCUCCUUGGCUGUGUCUGUUCUUGCUUCAGCCCAGCUUCCAGCUCGGUCAUUCUGUUCGCUUUCACCUCCUGGGGAAGAGAGACACAGGCACGUGCUUUUGGGUUGAAUACAGGAAAGCUUUGAGGCUCCUCUGCGAGUUCUGGAGGUAGUUGCCCCCUGCCUGCGAGCGCAGCCUUUCUGCCAGCUACCUUGGAAAUGGAUUUACCGUAACCCCAGGGCGGUCCCAUUUUUGCUGCUGCUGCAAUUGCAUUUCACCAUCUGCCAGUUUGGCCAGUGCCUGAAUGUUUGCCUAAGGAAUGGGUUUUAGGAUGGGUCUGGCAGCCUGAAGCACUCGUGUUGUGUAGGAGGCUCUGGAGCACACCUUUCCACACCGUAGGGGCAUCCAGCACUUCAGCUGAGACCUGCCCCAAACUGCCACAGGACCCUGCAGGCAGUGCCGAGUGCUUAUGGGGAAGAAUCUGGGGUUUUUGUUCCACGAGCAAUCCCUGCCCAUUGCUGCACUGCCUCCUAGCCCAAAUUCAGGGUUGGGGAGCUAUCAGUAGGUCCUGGAGGUGACUGAAUCCUUCCUGCAUUUCCCCACUGCGGAGCACGGCGUGGGCAGUGCAGGAUCAGUGGCAGCUGCUCCUUUUCCUGCCUGGAGCAUCCAAACGAGGAGCCUCGGCCGUGCUGCCCCCCGGUACCGGGCUCCUGUACGGUCCUGGUGGCAGCCCUGCUGUACAGUGUACAUCCUGGACAUAGGUUGUGCGUGUGUCUGUGCGAUAGCUCUGCAGUGACUGUGGUGGACCGAAGCACUAAUGUAUAGUAGGAAAUAAUAAAUAAUAGUAAAAAAACAAAACCAAACCCUA